GAUGAACGCUGGCGGCGUGCCUAAUACAUGCAAGUCGAGCGAACAGACGAGGAGCUUGCUCCUCUGACGUUAGCGGCGGACGGGUGAGUAACACGUGGAUAACCUACCUAUAAGACUGGGAUAACUUCGGGAAACCGGAGCUAAUACCGGAUAAUAUAUUGAACCGCAUGGUUCAAUAGUGAAAGACGGUUUUGCUGUCACUUAUAGAUGGAUCCGCGCCGCAUUAGCUAGUUGGUAAGGUAACGGCUUACCAAGGCGACGAUGCGUAGCCGACCUGAGAGGAUGAUCGGCCACACUGGAACUGAGACACGGUCCAGACUCCUACGGGAGGCAGCAGUAGGGAAUCUUCCGCAAUGGGCGAAAGCCUGAUGGAGCAACGCCGCGUGAGUGAUGAAGGUCUUCGGAUCGUAAAACUCUGUUAUUAGGGAAGAACAAAUGUGUAAGUAACUCUGCACGUCUUGACGGUACCUGAUGAGAAAGCCACGGCUAACUACGUG
RNAcentral lists this ribosomal RNA (497 nucleotides) under uncultured bacterium. Its description in RNAcentral is "partial 16S ribosomal RNA". It matches the Rfam family "Bacterial small subunit ribosomal RNA", at positions 28 to 507 of the family's 1533-position model. The record is from RNAcentral.